Molecule: ribosomal RNA, 480 nt
Filed under: Lodderomyces sp. Z9Y91
Lineage: Eukaryota; Fungi; Ascomycota; Pichiomycetes; Serinales; Debaryomycetaceae
Description: eukaryotic LSU rRNA
Rfam family: 5.8S ribosomal RNA (bases 141-294)
Source: RNAcentral
CUUAUCUACACACGUGUUUUUGUUUUAUUCUUAAAACUUGCUUUGGCAGUGGCUGCUUAAUUGCUCUGCUGCCAGAGGAUAAACUCAACCUAAAUUUUUUAUUUUAAACUAGUCAACUGAUUAUAUUUAUUAAUAGUCAAAACUUUCAACAACGGAUCUCUUGGUUCUCGCAUCGAUGAAGAACGCAGCGAAAUGCGAUAAGUAAUAUGAAUUGCAGAUAUUCGUGAAUCAUCGAAUCUUUGAACGCACAUUGCGCCCUCUGGUAUUCCGGAGGGCAUGCCUGUUUGAGCGUCAUUUCUCCCUCAAACCCCCGGGUUUGGUGAUGAGCAAUACGCCAGGUUUGCUUGAAAGUUAGGAGGAGUAUUUAUAACAAUGUAUUAGGUCUAACCACUCCAUUGUGCUUAAUAAAAAGCUCCAAUCUAUAUUUCAAACUUCGACCUCAAAUCAGGUAGGAUUACCCGCUGAACUUAAGCAUAUCAA